Long non-coding RNA from Nothoprocta perdicaria, 145 nucleotides. RefSeq lists it as uncharacterized. The transcript is spliced from 2 exons. The record is from RefSeq and is a predicted model, not a curated record. NCBI's taxonomy places the organism in Eukaryota, Metazoa, Chordata, Aves, Tinamiformes, Tinamidae.
GGCUGCACUGCCUUAGGACCUUCCUCCUGUGUUGUGAAGUCAAGAAAACAAAGAUUGAUCUACCCUGAGCUCUUACUUGUCCUGUUGAGGACACCAGGUUCACCCAACCUUAAAAAUACAUCCUUAAAACAGACAAAACUCUGGA